GGGGUGGGGCCGGGAGGCCGAGCUGAGCGAGGAAACUGCCCUGGGAUGGACCCCGUGGCUUUCCUAACCGGCUGCAGAGUCUCAGCUUCUGAGAGCAGUGCCAAGUCAGCCAUGCGCCUCACCGAGCGUCAGCACCGCCCCGCUGGGCGCCCGGAGCCGGCCAGCCCUGGUCCUGGAGGACGGUGCACUCGGGGAAGGAGGUAGGCGGUGCACCGUCCAGUCAGGGGUCUCACUCAGGACACAGGGGCGGCCGGGCGACGGCACAGCUGGAUUCUCACGCCCCACGCCUGCCCCUCUUCAUCUCCCUCCUCUCCACCGCCCAGGAAUCCAGGAAUCGGCCCGAGGCUCCCUCCCGUCUGGGGAACUUCCUGGUCUCCCCAGUUAGAUGCCAGGGUUCCCCUGGGCCUGGCCCAGUGCACGGCUGUCUGACUCUGGACUUGACUCCUUGGGGGCCGACAUCCACUGCGUCUGUCAGCGCCAAGGCCGCUCACUCUCAAGCAUUCAGCAGGAGCGCUGGAGGCCCCCCGAGCUCUGUGCUCAUCCGCCCAGAAGCCCAGGGACGUCCCGAGGUGGCCGGGUGGGACAAGCUCCACCGCCCCCUCCCCAGUGCCUAUGCCCCGAGACCUCGAGUUUCCUCGCCUGCUGGCUCUCUGGGCAGGCUCGUGGCAUCUGCGACGGCCGCUAGUGUGCAAGCAAGACUCGCCGUCCCGGGAGACUCCUCCUGCUGCCUCCCGGCUUGCUCCCUGAUCAUGCCAGCCCGAGGACCCAGUCUGGUCUCGUGGCAGGAGAGCGUAAGCGGCACGGCCCCCUCCCCAACCUCCCUGCCUGUUGUGGGGGUGGUUGGUGGGCGCUGACAGCUGGGGUGCCUGACCCCAUGGCCACAGCACUGUUCCAUCCUGGCUGCCUCGGCUUUGGUCAUUUCCAAUCCCUGUCCCUCCUGCAACAAAUCAGCUAGUUUUUCUCUUAUUUAAAAAUGGUUAAAAAAAAAAGAAAAAGAUUCAUUUAUUUGAAAGGCAGAAUGAUAGAGAUAGGCAGAGGGGGGGAGAGAGAGAAAAAGAGAGAGAGAGAGAGAGAGAAUGUCUUCCAUCUACUGAUUCUACUGGUUCACUCCCCAAAUGGUCACAACAGGGCUGGCCAGGCCAAAGCCAGGAGCCAGAAGCUUCUUCCAGGUCUCCCACGUGGGUGCAGGGACCCAAGCACUUGGGCAUCUUCCACUGCUUUCCUGGGCGCUUUAGCAGGGAGCUGGAUCGGAAGCGGAGCAGCCGGGACUCUGAUACGGGAUGCUGGUUUCGCGGGCAGUGGCUUAACCUACGAGCCA
RNAcentral lists this long non-coding RNA (1318 nucleotides) under Oryctolagus cuniculus (rabbit). RNAcentral's name for it is "lncRNA (ENSOCUG00000039153.1)". Lineage: Eukaryota; Metazoa; Chordata; Mammalia; Lagomorpha; Leporidae. The record is from RNAcentral.